AGAAGGAAAUGGCAACCCGCUUCAGUACUCUUGCCUGGAGAAUCCCAUGGACAGAGGAGUCUUUGGGGCUAUACUGUCCACGGGGUCAAAAGGAGACUGAGCAACUUUCAGUUUCUUACAGGGAGGUACAUCCUUGGGAGGAGAGGAUGAGGCCACGUGUGUUUUCUGAUUAUUUGCAUGCCAACUUUCUGGGUCAGGAAGGUAUCCUGUCAACACUUCCCUGGACAUAUAUUCUGUACCACAUUCUCUAAGCUUAUGAUUACUUCUAAUCACAAAGGAGGUAUUGGAAUCUCUGUUUUACGUGUGAAGAAACUAAAGUUUUGAGAGACUGAAUCUUUCCCCCAAGUUUCCAAAGUGACUUUGGGUUUUUUUGAUUAAUUCUUCCUUGGCCAUGACUCAAGAAACGACUGGAAUCCUGUAAGCGGCAAAGACAGUGGCAGCUUGAUCUUUGCUGGACCGGAUCCUGUUACCUGGGUUAGAGGGAGCCAGGGCACAGCCAGCAGAUGAGAAGACAUGAUCCGGGCGUUAGUGAGGGCUGGGUUCAGACGCCUCCGCUGGGCCUUGGGUGGGUCAGGAGAAGGAGAGGCGAGCGCUUGCCCAGUGCCCUCAGCCGGGUGGUGUUCUGGCCUUGUGUGCUCUUUUUCCUCCUGUCCCCGUGGUUAACACUCAGGGCUACCCCGCAAGGCAGGUUUCUGCAGAGGCCAGGUCGGCCCGGGCCGCGCGCGGGCCCCGGACGGGACCCUGCUUGUGCGAAGGAGCAGACGCGCGCCCUCAUCCAGGCCCGGGGCCUGGGCCUGGCGCUGGGAGGGGAGGUCAGCACUGCAGCUGCCCCAGCCCUGUGGCCGGGCUGCUCACGGGGCUCGGGCGGGGCUGGAGACGGCCUCAGGUCCCGAAGCAGGAGGGCCCCGGACGAGGGCCUGCAGGAAACACUGUCUACUCCCUCGGCUUCACCCAGGCAGGUGCGGCAGCCCCUUCCUCCUGGGAGUCUCAGCGGCCCUUCCAUGCUGCCUCUUCUGCCCCUGCUGGAUCCUCCAGGAAGAGGAGACGCGGACGAGGCUCUGGGUGGGAACGGCGCCGCCCGUUUCUCCCAGCUUUUUAAGUCCUUAGGGGGUCAGCUGAAUCUUGGCAGCUGCCAAAGCUCUGUCUGGAGCUGGAUUUCUGUGCCGGCGAUGCAGGGGGCUGCCUCCUCUUACAGGCUAGGACAGGGGCUCCCGGGGGCUCAGCACGCCUCAGUCUAGCUAGUCUCUGCUAGGUGAUAUAUUACCUUGGCCAGCCUGGAAACAGCCCAGGGACGGGGGGGUGUUAGCCAUUGUCUCCACCUGGUCUGGGCUAGACAGGGCCACACCAUGGACCUGUUCACCCCCAGGGCCCACAGAGGCUGAAGAGAGGGAGAGAGGCUCGCAGGAAAGCUUUGUUUCAAGCCUGUGGCCAGCCCAGCUCCCAGCUCUGAGUAAACAGCAGAGAUAGGAUCGGGCGUAGCCAGGAAGGGUGGCAGGGUGCGGCCUGGGAGAAGAAUGGCAGGAUGUGGCACUGGGCACCGUGCUGGGCACCCACGCCUCGGGCCAUUGUUCAGGGCUGCCCGGGGCUCUCAACUCUCAGGGGCCCUGAAAGGAAGUGAUGUUCCUCUGGGACCCGUUCCCCUGGCCCUGCCCCUCCCGGCCACAUGCUUCCUCCCUGGCAGUGCCCGCUGCACCACCCACACAGGGCCAGCCUGGGGGCGGGGGGUCUCAGUAGAGGGUCAGGUGUGUGCCCAGCAGGGAAGUGUCGUCACUGGCCCUCCUAGGAGGGUCUGCCUUCCUGUAGCCCUCGGUCUGAGUCACCCGUCAUGCUCCGAUGACUGGAAUUUAUGUCUAUCUUUAUCUGUAUCUAGAUGUGGGGAGGGGCGGGCUGUUGUUAUGGAGGGAGGAAGGUCUGAGAGUAAAAAGUCCUUUGAUUCCAAUCUGGCUGGGCUGCUUGUUGUCUGAUUGGGAGAGGAAGUGGCUGGUGAUUUGUUUGGGGGUAGAAAGGGGCUUAGUUUGUGUGCACCUUGGGUGGGAGGGGGUCAGAGGGGCUGGAAAAGGGUUGACUGUAGGCAGGAGAAAGAGGAGCUUAGCCCCUGGAGUCUGCCUGGUUGCAGACUCCAGAACUGGGCCCUGUGCCCUCAUCCCUCUGUGGGGGGCAGGCGUCCGCUGCCUUGUCCUGGGCGCUGGAUUUGGAGUCAGCUCAGAGACUCAAGACUCUGCGGCAUCCAGGGUGGGGCUGGCCUGAGCCCUCUCCCCCUAGGGGCCUUCACUUCUCAAGAUGCUCAGGUGAGGUUAAACCCAGGAGAAGGCGGCGGAGGGCCUGUGGGGUAGGUUCCCCGGAAGGGAAGGGAAGGCAGAGCAGGAAUGCUGCUCCGUGCCCCAGCUGGUUGAAGGUCCUCUGACUCUAUUCCUAAAUCAGUAUGCCCAAACAAGCCAGGUGAACCUGACCUUUCUGGGCCUCAGUUUCUCCAUUUAUAAAAUAUGAGUAAGACUGGGCGAGAGGGAGGAGAUUGGGAAUAUGGGAGCGCUUCUACCCGAGUGAGAGCUCCACCAGGGUGGCCUCUGACCAGGACCUGGGUGGGAACUGGGGGAGGCCAGUAAUCCACAUCUCCUGAGCACCAGAAUAGUCUGACUUCUGGGCCUCUGGGGAGAGGGGAGGCUGUGACUGCUGACCUUAAAACCUCCUGAAAAAUCAUGUAUAUAUGAUUGAAGCAUGGAGCAUGCUUUGUAGGGAAGGGNNNNNNNNNNNNNNNNNNNNNNNNNNNNNNNNNNNNNNNNNNNNNNNNNNNNNNNNNNNNNNNNNNNNNNNACGUUUGGAAAAUGUUUCUUACUGUCUCAAGGUGGGAACAAAAGGAAAUGGGCUUGCCUUGCUACUGGGGGAUUGGGGUCAUUCACAGGAAGAGCUUCGAUGCAAGAAAGAUGCAGCUGAGGAUAACUGGGUGUGGGAGGUGGGGGUGUGGGAAAUUAGCCCCAGACAGCAACAUCCAUCUGACGGAGAUGAUUACAGUAGCUGUCACUGAGGCAUGCAGACCUGCCUUGCCCUGUGCUGCUGAACUAUAUUACUCUGAGUGUUGUUCCAAUGUUUAUUGAGCACCUGUAUGUACCAGGCACUGUGCUAGACUCUGCGGCUAUAAUGACUAGCAAAACCAAGCUUAUUUUCACAGUGUGGGGUUGGAUGGGUUCUCAGGCUACUGGGCCAGUCAGAAAUAAACCAUGUGAAGGUAUCAUUAUCAAUUGUGAAAAGUACUUUGAAGUCGCGAGUUCCGGAUGCCAAGAGAAUGUAAACAGGCACCUCUUAUAGGGGCUGGAGUGUCAAUGGAAGGCUCAUCUCCUCAUCUUUGGGCUUCCCUUGUGGCCCAGCUGGUAAAGAAUCUGCCUGCAGUGCAGGAGACCUAGGUUCGAUCUCUGGGUUGGGAAGAUCCCCUGAAGAAGGGAAAGGCUACCCACUCCAGAGUUCUGGCCUGGAGAAUUCCAUGGACUACAGUCCAUGGGGUUUCAACGCGGAACAGCAUUCCUGCUCUGCCUUCCCUUCCGGGGUUGCAAAGUCGGACACAACUGAGCGGCUUCUCCAUAAACCAAUGAAUCCAGGGAGGGGACCAGUGGAGAGCCAGGGCCAGUGCCUGCAGUGGAGACAGACACCUGUGGGAAGGAAGGGCCCUUUUCUGGGCUGCUAGCAGGAUUUGGCAGGUAAUGGGGGGCUGGGGAGGGGGGAGUACCAUGCCCUGGUGAACAGACUGACACCUCCAAGCUAGCUUGACUGGUCGCCAAGAGCCAUUGUCUUUGUUACCAGGCUCUGUGUCAGAAGCUGGGACGGACUGCUGGGAGCCCCCCCCAAAAUAAAAACAAUCCCAGUGCCCAGUUGGGUGUACUCUUGGGAGUUAAGAGUGGGUAGAAAAGGCCAUCAAGGUCAAAGGGAAGAGCUGUCUUAGUGCAGCAGGGUCCAACGGAAAUAUAAUGUGAGCCACACUUAUACACGUUUUUCCCUAGCUACAGUAAGAAGUGCAAAAAGAAACAGGUGAAACGAAUUUUAGCGAUGUGUUUUAUUUAACCCCAAAGUGUGCAGACUGUUAUGUUUGAACCAGUGAUCAAUAACCAAUGAGCUGUUCUGCAUUAUGUUUUCGUCCUAACCCUUCCAAAACGAGGCUGUAGCUUGCACUCGGCAUGUUUCCACUGGGACCAGCCGCGGUUCAGGCGCUCAGCAGGGGGGCGGCCGGGGCACCGGGCCGCGCGGCCCUGGGGUUCCUUAGGACCGAGCGUCGCCUCCUCUGCCUCGGCCUUCAGCGGCGGCGGCGGGGGGAGGGUGGCCCCCAGCGGGACCGCGCUCUGGGGGGCGCUGGGCCGCGUGGGGGAGCACCCUGAGGGUGCCCGGAGGAGAAACCCCCAGGACGCCGGCCCGGGCGGGGCGCGGGGGCGCGGAGCCGGCCGGGGAUCAGAAGCCCGCGGCCCCGCAUUGUCCGCCGGUCGCACU
Molecule: long non-coding RNA, 4470 nt
Filed under: Capra hircus (goat)
Lineage: Eukaryota; Metazoa; Chordata; Mammalia; Artiodactyla; Bovidae
Description: lncRNA (ENSCHIG00010017507.1)
Source: RNAcentral